GGGUCAGUAGGUUGGUCGUGCCACCGGUACGUACUGGUCUCACUGAUUCCUCCUUCCUGAAGAACCGUAAUGCCAUUAAUUUGGUGUUGCGGGGAAACAGGACUGUUACUUUGAAAGAAUUAGAGUGUUUAAAGCAAGCUAACGCUUGAAUACAUUAGCAUGGAAUAAUGAAAUAGGACGAUCGAUCCUAUUUUGUUGGUUCCUAGGAUUGACGUA
This 216-nucleotide ribosomal RNA is filed under the name Glomeromycotina sp. Its description in RNAcentral is "partial small subunit ribosomal RNA". The stretch from base 40 to 216 matches the Rfam family "Eukaryotic small subunit ribosomal RNA", at positions 686 to 864 of the family's 1831-position model. Lineage: Eukaryota; Fungi; Glomeromycota. The record is from RNAcentral.